This 410-nucleotide long non-coding RNA is filed under the name Drosophila guanche. The record is from RNAcentral. Lineage: Eukaryota; Metazoa; Arthropoda; Insecta; Diptera; Drosophilidae.
ACUACUCUUUCAUUGAACAGCACUUUUUAUGGGUAUUUUUGUCAAGUCAUGUAAAAAAAGAAGAUGGAAUUCAAAUGUUCCAGGAUUCGGGUUUCUGCCAGGCAUACCAACCAAGCCGAUCCUAUACAAAAAUUAAAAUGAGAUCAUAAUCCACUUUCAAUCAGAAAAAUCAACAUGCGAUCACGCACCUCAAACCAAAUUUUGUUGGUUGAUUAUGUUUUUUUAAGUUUUAAUGUUGGAACAUUCUGUUUGUUCUGAUCUGUAUGAUCCUGAGAUCAUAAUGCAACUAUACAAAGUGGUCUCGUCGGUUGCCGAAUCGUCGGCGUUCGGUUCUAAAAUCUACUGAAAAACAAUAAUAACGACUACUUUCAAGUAGUAUCUUAUUGAAAAAUAAAAUUAAAAUAAAAAAC